RNAcentral lists this unclassified non-coding RNA (182 nucleotides) under uncultured Atheliaceae. RNAcentral describes it as "sequence contains ITS1". Lineage: Eukaryota; Fungi; Basidiomycota; Agaricomycetes; Atheliales; Atheliaceae. The record is from RNAcentral.
UCGAAAUUAUAGGCGAGGGUUGUUGCUGGCCUCACGGGGCAAUGUGCACGUCCGAGCCAUUAAUCCACACACACCUGUGAACCUAUUGUGAGGGCCCGUGAAAAAGGCCCCCACGUCUUUAUAUCAUAUAACCCUGUCUUACAGAAUGUAAAAUCUACGUCUUCGGACAAAGAAACUCUAUA